UAGCUCAGUCAGUACAGCAUGAGACUCUUAAUCUCAGGGUUAUGGGUUCAAAUCCCGAACUGGGCAAAA
Podarcis lilfordi (Lilford's wall lizard) is the source of this 69-nucleotide non-coding RNA. The record is from the annotation of a GenBank genome assembly. Lineage: Eukaryota; Metazoa; Chordata; Lepidosauria; Squamata; Lacertidae.